UACGUAGGUGGCAAGCGUUGUCCGGAUUUACUGGGCGUAAAGAGCGCGCAGGCGGUCGACCAAGUCGCGUGUGAAAGCCCCCGGCUCAACUGGGGAGGGUCACGCGAUACUGAUCGACUCGAAGGCAGGAGAGGGUAGUGGAAUUCCCGGUGUAGUGGUGAAAUGCGUAGAUAUCGGGAGGAACACCAGUGGCGAAGGCGGAUCUCUGGGCCGAUACUGACGCUGAGGAGCGAAAGCGUGGGGAGCGAACAGG
RNAcentral lists this ribosomal RNA (253 nucleotides) under uncultured bacterium. RNAcentral's name for it is "partial 16S ribosomal RNA". It matches the Rfam family "Bacterial small subunit ribosomal RNA", at positions 524 to 776 of the family's 1533-position model. The record is from RNAcentral.